This 477-nucleotide ribosomal RNA is filed under the name uncultured bacterium. Its description in RNAcentral is "bacterial SSU rRNA". It matches the Rfam family "Bacterial small subunit ribosomal RNA", at positions 365 to 832 of the family's 1533-position model. The record is from RNAcentral.
UUCGCAAUGCCCGAAAGGGUGACGAAGCGACGCCGCGUGUGGGAAGAAGGCCUUCGGGUUGUAAACCACUAUCGGGAGUUAAGAAAUGCAAGGAUAUGAAUAGUGUCUUUGCUUGACUAAGGCUCCGGAGGAAGCCACGGCUAACUCUGUGCCAGCAGCCGCGGUAAUACAGAGGCGGCAAGCGUUGUUCGGAAUUAUUGGGCGUAAAGAGCACGUAGGCGGCUAUGUAAGUCGGUUGUGAAAGCCUUCCGCUCAACGGGAGAACAGCAUCCGAUACUACAUGGCUUGAGUGCGGGAGGGGAGAGUGGAACUUCUGGUGGAGCGGUGAAAUGCGUAGAUAUCAGAAGGAACGCCGGCGGCGAAAGCGGCUCUCUGGCCCAUAACUGACGCUGAGUGUGCGAAAGCUAGGGGAGCAAACGGGAUUAGAUACCCCGGUAGUCCUAGCCGUAAACGAUGGGCACUAAGUAGAGGGGUUUU